Molecule: ribosomal RNA, 467 nt
Filed under: uncultured bacterium
Lineage: Bacteria
Description: partial 16S ribosomal RNA
Rfam family: Bacterial small subunit ribosomal RNA
Source: RNAcentral
GACGAACGCUGGCGGCGUGCUUAACACAUGCAAGUCGAACGGAAAGGCCCUGCUUUUGUGGGGUGCUCGAGUGGCGAACGGGUGAGUAACACGUGAGUAACCUGCCCUUGACUUUGGGAUAACUUCAGGAAACUGGGGCUAAUACCGGAUAGGAGCUCCUGCUGCAUGGUGGGGGUUGGAAAGUUUCGGCGGUUGGGGAUGGACUCGCGGCUUAUCAGCUUGUUGGUGGGGUAGUGGCUUACCAAGGCUUUGACGGGUAGCCGGCCUGAGAGGGUGACCGGCCACAUUGGGACUGAGAUACGGCCCAGACUCCUACGGGAGGCAACAGUGGGGAAUAUUGCACAAUGGGCGGAAGCCUGAUGCAGCAACGCCGGGUGCGGGAUGACGGCCUUCGGGUUGUAAACCGCUUUCGCCUGUGACGAAGCGUGAGUGACGGUAAUGGGUAAAGAAGCACCGGCUAACUACGU